GACGAACGCUGGCGGCGUGCUUAACACAUGCAAGUCGAGCGGUAAGGCCCUUUCGGGGGUACGACGAGCGGCGAACGGGUGAGUAACACGUGGGUGACCUGCCCUCAGCUCUGGGAUAAGCCUGGGAAACUGGGUCUAAUACUGGAUAUGACUCCACGGUGCAUGUCGUGGGGUGGAAAGCCUUGUGCGGCUGAGGAUGGGCCCGCGGCCUAUC
This 214-nucleotide ribosomal RNA is filed under the name uncultured bacterium. Its description in RNAcentral is "partial 16S ribosomal RNA". It matches the Rfam family "Bacterial small subunit ribosomal RNA", at positions 28 to 242 of the family's 1533-position model. The record is from RNAcentral.